UUGACUCACGCGGGAAUCUUACCGGGUCCGGACACACUGAGGAUUGACAGAUAUAUAUACACCGUCGGUACUUGUAUCGCGGUGUUGAAAGAUGCUAGUUCUUUCAUGAUUAUGUGAUAGGUGGUGCAUGGCCGUUCUUAGUUCGUGGAGUGAUCUGUCUGCUUAAUUGCGUAUCAUAAAAAGAGACCUAGUAUACGCGUAAGAUAUCGUUUACGGUUCGUGACCCCCUUCGGGCGUGUGUCGCACGUACGUAUCAUACGCACUGGUCUCCGAUAGCAACGAACGUGACCGUACUCUAUUGUUGCAGCGAAUGUAUGCAUCUUCGGGUGUAUCUACCGCUGCUUAGCAUAUUUCAUGCCUCGUGCGUGUGUAUGCAUUAAACUAUAGAGACCGCUGUAUUUUUUUUAAACCAGAGGAAGGAUACGGCAAUAACAGGUCUGUGAUGCCCUCAGAUGUUCCGGGCUGCACACGUGCUACAAUGAUCAUUGCACUGUGCAUCUAACCCAAUGUGCGUGGACGCCACGGUAUGUAUUUAUGCUUCGGCGUAGUAUAUAUCAGUUGGUCGGCCGCGCCGAACCUACUUCGAAAGUAAAAUUUCUCAGUGGGUAAUCCAUUAGAAGUAAUGACUCGCAUAGACCAUGGUACACACUUAUAUAUGUACGCGCAGGUUCUACCCGGCCGGCCUUUGUGUCGGUGCAGUGCGUAGCUUGUUGUUUCGUACGUACCACUCCGUAUUAAUUCAUACGUGGGGAUAGAUCAUUGUUUAAUUGUUGGUCUCGGUCUUAACUAGGAAUGCCUUGUACGGGUCUCCGGUUCAA
RNAcentral lists this ribosomal RNA (818 nucleotides) under Ammonia sp. genotype T1. RNAcentral describes it as "SSU rRNA". The stretch from base 1 to 477 matches the Rfam family "Eukaryotic small subunit ribosomal RNA", at positions 1195 to 1501 of the family's 1831-position model. The record is from RNAcentral. Lineage: Eukaryota; Foraminifera; Rotaliida; Rotaliidae.